CCUACGGGCGGCUGCAGUGGGGAAUUUUGGACAAUGGGGGCAACCCUGAUCCAGCCAUGCCGCGUGCGGGAAGAAGGCCUUCGGGUUGUAAACCGCUUUUGUCAGGGAAGAAAUCUUCCGAGCUAAUACCUUGGGAGGUUGACGGUACCUGAAGAAUAAGCACCGGCUAACUACGUGCCAGCAGCCGCGGUAAUACGUAGGGUGCAAGCGUUGCUCGGAAUUAGUGCGGGCAAAGCGGGAGCAGGCGGUUGAAAGCCCCGGGCUUAACCUGGGAGCUGCACUUGUGACUGUACGGCUGGAGUACGGCAGAGGGGGAUGGAAUUCCGCGUGUAGCAGUGAAAUGCGUAGAUAUGCGGAGGAACACCGAUGGCGAAGGCAGUCCCCUGGGCCUGUACUGACGCUCAUGCACGAAAGCGUGGGGAGCAAACAGGAUUAGAUACCCCGGUAGUC
RNAcentral lists this ribosomal RNA (450 nucleotides) under uncultured bacterium. RNAcentral describes it as "partial 16S ribosomal RNA". It matches the Rfam family "Bacterial small subunit ribosomal RNA", at positions 338 to 795 of the family's 1533-position model. The record is from RNAcentral.